This 282-nucleotide unclassified non-coding RNA is filed under the name Borreliella valaisiana. RNAcentral describes it as "partial 5S-23S ribosomal RNA intergenic spacer". The record is from RNAcentral. Lineage: Bacteria; Pseudomonadati; Spirochaetota; Spirochaetia; Spirochaetales; Borreliaceae.
CUCUUAUUCGCUGAUGGUACUGCGAGUUCGUGGGAGAGUAAGUUAUUGCCAGGGUUUUUAUUUUGUACUUUAAACCUUAAAUUUAUUUUUUAUAUUUUUUUAAUGUUCAUGUUUUUGAAUGUUUUAUUCAAAUAAUGUAAAAAAUAAAAUAGAUAUUGACAUGGAUUGAACAAAAGAUAUAUAUUAUUUUAUGUUGCAUAAACAAAUUGGCAAAAUAGAGAUGGAAGAUAAAAAUAUGGUCAAAGUAAUAAGAGUCUAUGGUGAAUGCCUAGGAGCUUUAAG